GUAGGUGGCAAGCGUUGUCCGGAAUUAUUGGGCGUAAAGCGCGCGCAGGCGGGGGGUUUUUAAGUCUGAUGUGAAAGCCCACGGGCUCAACCGUGGAGGGUCAUUGGAAACUGGAGAACUUGAGUACAGAAGAGGAAAGCGGAGUUCCACGUGUAGCGGUGAAAUGCGUAGAGAUGUGGAGGAACACCAGUGGCGAAGGCGGCUUUCUGGUCUGUAACUGACGCUGAGGCGCGAAAGCGUGGGGAGCAAACAGGAUUAGAUACCCUGGUAGUCCACGCCGUAAACGAUGAGUGCUAAGUGUUAGGGGGUUUCCCGCCCCUUAGUGCUGCAGCUAACGCAUUAAGCACUCCGCCUGGGGAGUACGGCCGCAAGGCUG
RNAcentral lists this ribosomal RNA (376 nucleotides) under uncultured organism. RNAcentral describes it as "partial 16S ribosomal RNA". It matches the Rfam family "Bacterial small subunit ribosomal RNA", at positions 527 to 896 of the family's 1533-position model. The record is from RNAcentral.